GAAGUGCGAUAAGCAAUGCGAAUUGCAGAACCGUGAGUCAUCAGAUUUUUGAACGCAACUGGCACCGAUUGGCUAUCCAGUCGGUAUGCUUGUUUCAGUGUCUUAUUUUCUCCUCACCCAAAUCAUAAUGCGAGAGAUGCCCUUCUCUUGCUAAGCAUGAAAGCACUCUGCGCUCUGCAGGCGAUUCUAUGGCUUAGCCUGGAGUCGCACUCAAUGCAGCCGUCACAUUGCUUCCAAUGUGAACUCAUUGAGAGUAGAGGCAGCUCAGCGUAAGCUGUUAGUGCUUAGUCACUCAAACUUUAUCUGUAUCUGAAAUCAAGCAGGACCACCCGCUGAACUUAA
Molecule: unclassified non-coding RNA, 342 nt
Filed under: uncultured fungus
Lineage: Eukaryota; Fungi
Description: sequence contains ITS1
Rfam family: 5.8S ribosomal RNA (bases 1-103)
Source: RNAcentral